AGUGAACGCUGGCGGUAGGCCUAACACAUGCGAGUCGAACGGCAGCACAGUAAGAGCUUGCUCUUACGGGUGGCGAGUGGCGGACGGGUGAGGAAUACAUCGGAAUCUACUUUUUCGUGGGGGAUAACGUAGGGAAACUUACGCUAAUACCGCAUACGACCUACGGGUGAAAGCAGGGGAUCUUCGGACCUUGCGCGAUUGAAUGAGCCGAUGUCGGAUUAGCUAGUUGGCGGGGUAAAGGCCCACCAAGGCGACGAUCCGUAGCUGGUCUGAGAGGAUGAUCAGCCACACUGGAACUGAGACACGGUCCAGACUCCUACGGGAGGCAGCAGUGGGGCCUCUUGGGCCCUGGGCGCCCGCCUGCUCCCGCCCUCCCGCGUGGGUGAAGAAGGCCUUCGGGUUGUAAAGCCCUUUUGUUGGGAAAGAAAAGCAGCAGGUUAAUACCCCGCUGUUCUGACGGUACCCCACGAAUAAGCACCGGCUCACUUCGUG
This 492-nucleotide ribosomal RNA is filed under the name uncultured bacterium. RNAcentral's name for it is "partial 16S ribosomal RNA". It matches the Rfam family "Bacterial small subunit ribosomal RNA", at positions 29 to 507 of the family's 1533-position model. The record is from RNAcentral.